UACGUAGGGUGCGAGCGUUGCCCGAAUUUAUUGGGCGUAAAGGGCGCGUAGGCGACUCGGCACGUCCGUUGUGAAAUCGCCCGGCUCAACUGGGCGGGGUCAGCGGAUACGGCCGAGCUUGAGCAAGCUAGGGGGCAAUGGAAUUCCCGGUGUAGUGGUGGAAUGCGUAGAUAUCGGGAGGAACACCAGUGGCGAAGGCGGUUGCCUGGAGCUUUGCUGACGCUGAUGCGCGAAAGCGUGGGGAGCGAUCCGG
RNAcentral lists this ribosomal RNA (253 nucleotides) under uncultured bacterium. Its description in RNAcentral is "partial 16S ribosomal RNA". It matches the Rfam family "Bacterial small subunit ribosomal RNA", at positions 524 to 776 of the family's 1533-position model. The record is from RNAcentral.